GGGCGGUUAGCUCAGUUGGUUAGAGCAUCCCGCUUACACCGGGAAGGUCCUCCGUUCAAGUCGGAGACCGCCCACCA
Molecule: transfer RNA, 77 nt
Filed under: Acidipila sp.
Lineage: Bacteria; Pseudomonadati; Acidobacteriota; Terriglobia; Terriglobales; Acidobacteriaceae
Also listed under: 1 other name
Description: tRNA-Val
Rfam family: tRNA
About the family: Transfer RNA (tRNA) molecules are approximately 80 nucleotides in length. Their secondary structure includes four short double-helical elements and three loops (D, anti-codon, and T loops). Further hydrogen bonds mediate the characteristic L-shaped molecular structure. tRNAs have two regions of fundamental functional importance: the anti-codon, which is responsible for specific mRNA codon recognition, and the 3' end, to which the tRNAs corresponding amino acid is attached (by aminoacyl-tRNA synthetases). tRNAs cope with the degeneracy of the genetic code in two manners: having more than one tRNA (with a specific anti-codon) for a particular amino acid; and 'wobble' base-pairing, i.e. permitting non-standard base-pairing at the 3rd anti-codon position.
Source: RNAcentral